AUUGAACGCUGGCGGCAGGCCUAACACAUGCAAGUCGAACGGUAACAGGAAACAGCUUGCUGUUUCGCUGACGAGUGGCGGACGGGUGAGUAAUGUCUGGGAAACUGCCUGAUGGAGGGGGAUAACUACUGGAAACGGUAGCUAAUACCGCAUAACGUCGCAAGACCAAAGAGGGGGACCUUCGGGCCUCUUGCCAUCGGAUGUGCCCAGAUGGGAUUAGCUAGUAGGUGGGGUAACGGCUCACCUAGGCGACGAUCCCUAGCUGGUCUGAGAGGAUGACCAGCCACACUGGAACUGAGACACGGUCCAGACUCCUACGGGAGGCAGCAGUGGGGAAUAUUGCACAAAGGGCGCAAGCCUGAUACAGCCAUGCCGCGUGUAUGAAGAAGGCCUUCGGGUUGUAAAGUACUUUCAGCGGGGAGGAAGGGAGUAAAGUUAAUACCUUUACUCAUUGACGUUACCCGCAGAAGAAGCACCGGCUAACUCCGUG
RNAcentral lists this ribosomal RNA (490 nucleotides) under uncultured bacterium. RNAcentral's name for it is "partial 16S ribosomal RNA". It matches the Rfam family "Bacterial small subunit ribosomal RNA", at positions 30 to 507 of the family's 1533-position model. The record is from RNAcentral.